GACGAACGCUGGCGGCGUGCUUAACACAUGCAAGUCGAGCGGUAAGGCCCUUUCGGGGGUAUACGAGCGGCGAACGGGUGAGUAACACGUGGGUGACCUGCCCUCAGCUCUGGGAUAAGCCUGGGAAACUGGGUCUAAUACUGGAUAUGACUCCACGGUGCAUGUCGUGGGGUGGAAAGCCUUGUGCGGCUGAGGAUGGGCCCGCGGCCUAUCAGCUUGUUGGUGGGGUGANGGCCUACCAAGGCGACGACGGGUAGCCGGCCUGAGAGGGCGACCGGCCACACUGGGACUGAGACACGGCCCAGACUCCUACGGGAGGCAGCAGUGGGGAAUCUUGCGCAAUGGGCGAAAGCCUGACGCAGCGACGCCGCGUGAGGGAUGACGGCCU
Molecule: ribosomal RNA, 388 nt
Filed under: uncultured bacterium
Lineage: Bacteria
Description: bacterial SSU rRNA
Rfam family: Bacterial small subunit ribosomal RNA
Source: RNAcentral